Molecule: ribosomal RNA, 1551 nt
Filed under: Salmonella enterica subsp. enterica serovar Kottbus
Lineage: Bacteria; Pseudomonadati; Pseudomonadota; Gammaproteobacteria; Enterobacterales; Enterobacteriaceae
Also listed under: 1 other name
Description: bacterial LSU rRNA
Rfam family: Bacterial large subunit ribosomal RNA
Source: RNAcentral
GGUAUCAGAAGUGCGAAUGCUGACAUAAGUAACGAUAAAGCGGGUGAAAAGCCCGCUCGCCGGAAGACCAAGGGUUCCUGUCCAACGUUAAUCGGGGCAGGGUGAGUCGACCCCUAAGGCGAGGCCGAAAGGCGUAGUCGAUGGGAAACGGGUUAAUAUUCCCGUACUUGGUGUUACUGCGAAGGGGGGACGGAGAAGGCUAUGUUGGCCGGGCGACGGUUGUCCCGGUUUAAGCGUGUAGGUGUGUGUUCCAGGUAAAUCCGGUUCACUUUAACACUGAGGCGUGACGACGAGGCACUACGGUGCUGAAGCAACAAAUGCCCUGCUUCCAGGAAAAGCCUCUAAGCAUCAGGUAACAUCAAAUCGUACCCCAAACCGACACAGGUGGUCAGGUAGAGAAUACCAAGGCGCUUGAGAGAACUCGGGUGAAGGAACUAGGCAAAAUGGUGCCGUAACUUCGGGAGAAGGCACGCUGACACGUAGGUGAAGUGAUUUACUCAUGGAGCUGAAGUCAGUCGAAGAUACCAGCUGGCUGCAACUGUUUAUUAAAAACACAGCACUGUGCAAACACGAAAGUGGACGUAUACGGUGUGACGCCUGCCCGGUGCCGGAAGGUUAAUUGAUGGGGUCAGCGCAAGCGAAGCUCCUGAUCGAAGCCCCGGUAAACGGCGGCCGUAACUAUAACGGUCCUAAGGUAGCGAAAUUCCUUGUCGGGUAAGUUCCGACCUGCACGAAUGGCGUAAUGAUGGCCAGGCUGUCUCCACCCGAGACUCAGUGAAAUUGAACUCGCUGUGAAGAUGCAGUGUACCCGCGGCAAGACGGAAAGACCCCGUGAACCUUUACUAUAGCUUGACACUGAACAUUGAGCCUUGAUGUGUAGGAUAGGUGGGAGGCUUUGAAGCGUGGACGCCAGUCUGCGUGGAGCCGACCUUGAAAUACCACCCUUUAAUGUUUGAUGUUCUAACGUGGACCCGUUACCCGGGUUGCGGACAGUGUCUGGUGGGUAGUUUGACUGGGGCGGUCUCCUCCUAAAGAGUAACGGAGGAGCACGAAGGUUGGCUAAUCCUGGUCGGACAUCAGGAGGUUAGUGCAAUGGCAUAAGCCAGCUUGACUGCGAGCGUGACGGCGCGAGCAGGUGCGAAAGCAGGUCAUAGUGAUCCGGUGGUUCUGAAUGGAAGGGCCAUCGCUCAACGGAUAAAAGGUACUCCGGGGAUAACAGGCUGAUACCGCCCAAGAGUUCAUAUCGACGGCGGUGUUUGGCACCUCGAUGUCGGCUCAUCACAUCCUGGGGCUGAAGUAGGUCCCAAGGGUAUGGCUGUUCGCCAUUUAAAGUGGUACGCGAGCUGGGUUUAGAACGUCGUGAGACAGUUCGGUCCCUAUCUGCCGUGGGCGCUGGAGAACUGAGGGGGGCUGCUCCUAGUACGAGAGGACCGGAGUGGACGCAUCACUGGUGUUCGGGUUGUCAUGCCAAUGGCACUGCCCGGUAGCUAAAUGCGGAAGAGAUAAGUGCUGAAAGCAUCUAAGCACGAAACUUGCCCCGAGAUGAGUUCU